This 445-nucleotide ribosomal RNA is filed under the name Paenibacillaceae bacterium AU698. RNAcentral's name for it is "bacterial SSU rRNA". It matches the Rfam family "Bacterial small subunit ribosomal RNA", at positions 78 to 506 of the family's 1533-position model. Lineage: Bacteria; Bacillati; Bacillota; Bacilli; Caryophanales; Paenibacillaceae. The record is from RNAcentral.
GCUUGCUUCUCUGAUGGUUAGCGGCGGACGGUUGAGUAACACGUAGGCAACCUGCCCUCAAGUUUGGGACAACUACCGGAAACGGUAGCUAAUACCGAAUAGUUGUUUCCUUCGCCUGAAGGAAACUGGAAAGACGGAGCAAUCUGUCACUUGGGGAUGGGCCUGCGGCGCAUUAGCUAUUUGGUGGGGUAACGGCUCACCAAGGCGACGAUGCGUAGCCGACCUGAGAGGGUGAUCGGCCACACUGGGACUGACACACGGCCCAGACUCCUACGGGAGGCAGCAGUACGGAAUCUUCCGCAAUGGGCGAAAGCCUGACGGAGCAAUGCCGCGUGAGUGAUGAAGGUUUUCGGAUCGUAAAGCUCUGUUGCCAGGGAAGAACUCUUGGGACAGUAGCUGCUCUCGUGGUGACGGUACCUGAGAAGAAUGCCCCGGUUAACUACGU